AGUGGCUGGUCUUGCAGCUGAGUAGGGGUUCUGUCUUUUUGCUUCCUAGAUUGAAGAGGAAAAGAAAAGAACUGCCCGAACAGACUACUGGCUACAGCCUGAAAUUAUUGUGAAAAUUAUAACCAAGAAACUGGGAGAGAAAUAUCAUAAGAAAAAGGCUAUUGUUAAGGAAGUAAUCGACAAAUAUACAGCUGUUGUGAAGAUGAUUGAUUCUGGAGACAAGCUGAAACUUGACCAGACUCAUUUAGAGACAGUAAUUCCAGCACCAGGAAAAAGAAUUCUAGUUUUAAAUGGAGGUUACAGAGGAAAUGAAGGUACCCUAGAAUCCAUCAAUGAGAAGACUUUUUCAGCUACUAUCAUCAUUGAAACUGGCCCUUUAAAAGGACGCAGAGUUGAAGGAAUUCAAUAUGAAGACAUUUCUAAACUUGCCUGAGUUUGAAAAUUUGUUAACAAUACAUUAAAAUCUUAAAGCAUCAAAUUGGUGUUCGCCAAGGCAUUAUGAGACUCUACUGUGUUAGGGUAUUCUUUUGUAUAAAAGAAACAGGUUUUUGAAAAUAUUACUUUAUAGUUGUUCAGCUAAACUUUGAGAACAAUUUACUUAUGUCUCAUGAAGUAUCAAAACUAUGUAAUUUUGUCUUUGUUAUUUUUGUUUCCUUUGUAAUUUACUUGAUGAAUUUAUAUCUUCAUUAAAGAAUGUU
RNAcentral lists this small RNA (698 nucleotides) under Pongo abelii (Sumatran orangutan). RNAcentral's name for it is "processed transcript". Lineage: Eukaryota; Metazoa; Chordata; Mammalia; Primates; Hominidae. The record is from RNAcentral.